Molecule: long non-coding RNA, 2930 nt
Organism: Thamnophis elegans (Western terrestrial garter snake)
Lineage: Eukaryota; Metazoa; Chordata; Lepidosauria; Squamata; Natricidae
Exons: 3
Source: RefSeq, a predicted model, not a curated record
ACGAAGGGAAAUGGAGACGCUCCUCCUUUUAACGGAUAACUGGAGUCGAUAUCGUAUGUUAGAUGUCCCUUUGGAAUUUCCUCAAAAGGCUAUUUUGUCGGUCCACCGGUAAGAACUGGCAGCCUCAGGAGGAUCAGGACAAGUUUGCUACGUCUUUUAACAGCAUGUAGGCGAAGAAAACAGGUCGUGAAAACUACUUCGGGACAACCGUUCAAUGUUUAGAAACCCAGGCCUCCUUUGCACUAGUCUAGCUAGUUAACGAUGGGAUAUUUUUUUAUAAUUCUAGGGUUUGCAAUUAAAAACCUCUCUGUUCUAUCGAUCAGGUUUUUUUUUCCUUUUUAAAAUUCUAUCACAUAAACUAGAAAUGCAUUACUUUUCAGCCAAAAGUCUCACCACUUCAAGUGCACGCUUAAAAAAAGGGAAACCAAACUACCGGAUUAGAAGCUAUGGCGAGGCUAUGUGUCUUUCCUUGCACAUGGCCUAUUUCUCAUGGGACGAAGAUUGACUGUGGUCAAUAGCAUUAUGUACACCUCAAAGUGGGGUUUUCCCCCCAAUCAUGCAACAAUAUGCCUUUUAGACUUCUUCAGAAAUUGUACAGAUUGCAGGUAAUGUAUAGCUACAGUUUACCUGAUUGUAGAAAUUAAGGUGAACCAAAUGAAAGAGAACUUUCUUGUAGCUUUGAAAUAACUCGCUUUCCAUAAAGCUGUUACUAGCUACUAAUCUCAGCUUCUUAUUGGCAAUAUUUCAAACAGAGGUCAGCCAAUAAACUCUAUAAGAUUUAUAUAAUGCUGCAUUUAAGUACAUAGAUUAUUAUUAAUGUCAUACAUCUGUGUACAUGAUACUCUUCUAUUUAAGACCUGUUAUCCAGAUACUUCUGAAUUUUUGUGAUCUAAUGAAUAUUGUUUUGCAUGGACUGUUGGUACUUAUAAAAAAAAGUGGUUAAAUAAUGUCAUCAAUCACCCAAGCAUGAGCUGUGGUUGGGUGAUUGGUGACAUUAUUUAACCACUUUUUCUUCCUGUCAGCUGCUUUUUCAAUUGUCUUCAAUUUUUCUGAAAUAAACAUUGCAUUUGUUAACCAGCACAAGCGAACAAAUACACACAUAUACAUUUCAAUUUUUCUGAAAACCAGGUUCUUUUCCAAUAAUGUUUGUUUCUGUAUCAUUGCUGCAGAAUAAUUAUGUUAUAGCUUAAUUAUUCCUUUAGUGAGCAGUCCGAUUUUAUUUCAGUAUUAUUUGUUCUUUCUGUGAUCUCAUUAAUUUUCUCUAGUGUUACAGUUGAAAGAUCAAUUUUUCUUGAUUCAGAUUUUCAAAUAGUCCAACUUUCACAGACAUAUACAAUUGGAAAAACUUUCUAUGACAGAGCACAUCUUUGUUAGCAUGUCUGCGCUUUAAAUUUUAAAAUCAUUAUUUAAAGAUUCAAGAUAAAUUUGAUUACAUAAGGAUUAAGUAAGUGUAUUUUUUCAGAUAAUUAAAUCAUCUAUUUUCAUGAAGGGGCUGACAAUACUGCACAUUUUUACUGAGAUGCACAUUCAGCUGAACUCAUAGAAACUUCCUUUAGUAAGUAUGCUUAAGGCUGCAGAUUUAAAUGACAAAUAUAAUUGUAUUGGCAGAUUGAAUUGUAGAGCAGACAAAAUCUAUUGCAGAUGUUUGUGGCACAGCAUUUUAAGGGGUUUUCAUAGUUUGCAUUGCUAAGACCACCUAAAAUGAUAAAUAGUAAAGCUUGAUUGCUGUAGGUAAGGGUAGCAAUUCCCAUAACCAGUUCUCCUAUUUGACAAAAUGACGUAAAGCUGGCGGUUUUGAGUGAAACCACAACAUACUAGAACACAAGAUAAAAUUAGGCAUCCUGAUUCAAGAGGCAAUUUUGGAAAAUAGAGUAAAACAUUCAUAGGCUGCAAAAAGCCAUCAUAUAUUGUUUUUCAUGCAUUUUAUAUCUCCUAUGUAUUUCUGUAGAAGACAUCUUGCUAUUCUUGCAACUCUGCUCCUGGGAGUACGGAUUUUGGGACAAACUGAGGUUUCUGGGGACAAUCCACAGCUUCCAUUGCCACCGGAUUUGGAGAUGCACGGUGACUAGAUAUAGGAAUGAGAUUACUCCUCUCUGCUGUAUAAUCAGACUGGAUGCGGGGAGAGGAGGGAUGUUUCCACAAUUAGAUGGCAGUCAUGGCUAGGAGAGCCUUUGCACAACUAUGUGUUACGUGCCAGUUUCCUGGAUCUUGCAUCCCUGCACACAGUCACUCAAGUCCUGGUCAUCUCAUGCUUGUGAAUGGGGCUACUCUUGAAGAGUAUUCAGAAGCUACAACUGGUGCAGAAUAUAGUGAUGUGGACAUUCUUGGGGCCUCUAUGAUGGUUCAUAUUGCAUUGAUGUUGGCUUCUGUGUCCAAUUCAAGAUGUUGGUUAUCAUCUUUAAAGCCCUUCAUGGCUUUUAAGGCUACUUGAAGAAAUAUCUCACCCCAAUGGAAUUGGCCCAACUCACCCAUAUUGGCAGAAGGGACAUGCUCUCGAUUCCAUUAGCCAAGGAACUCCAAUUGGUGGGAUCCCAAGACAAGAGCCCUUUCUGUCUUCCGAAACAUGUCCUCUGAUGUAAGAUUCACACCCAUCCUUGGCCUUCUGAAAGUACCUGAAGACUUGGCUCUACCAACUGACUGGGACCUCACCGAGGUCAUGCCAUUCUGGAGGUGGUUAAUGGACUAAGAUCCCACUUCCUCUCCUGUGUACAUCUUGCUCUCUUCCUUCCCAUCUGAUCAAUUUUAAAUCAUUUUAGUAAUAAUAUUUAUCAUUUUAAAGUUUUAUUCUUGUUUUUAUGACUGUAAGCUGCCUCUAGGCAAGAUGGGCGGCACAUAAGUUUAUUAACUAAUAAAUUGCUGAUCUCUUGGAAAAACAAAAGUAAAAUAUUACUUAAAUAUUACAAAUCAAAUUACAGUUAAUAAGAGAACCC